RNAcentral lists this long non-coding RNA (1107 nucleotides) under Oncorhynchus kisutch (coho salmon). RNAcentral's name for it is "lncRNA (ENSOKIG00005011784.1)". Lineage: Eukaryota; Metazoa; Chordata; Actinopteri; Salmoniformes; Salmonidae. The record is from RNAcentral.
AUGGGGACAUUGAUGACUUUUCAGUGCAGUGACAUUCCAUUUCUGAGCCAGACAAACCCUAUGAGGGCCUGUGUCCUGCCACUGUCAUGGGUGUCACAAUGGCAUAGAGGUGGUGACAGGGGGCUGCUUGGACAUGGGACAAUUAAAAGAGUGUGUCUCAGUGACGUUCAACAUAGUCUCAUAGAGCUCUGCCUGUGUGCUCUCUGUUUGCAUUUUACUCUGCUGCUGUAUGUGUUCCAGUCAGUGUGUUGUGUACUGUACCUGUGUGAGCAGCUGUCUCAGGGCCUGUGUUGUGUACUGUACCUGUGUGAGCAGCUGUCUCAGGGCCUGUGUUGUGUACUGUACCUGUGUGAGCAGCUGUCUCAGGGCCUGUGUUGUGUACUGUACCUGUGUGAGCAGCUGUCUCAGGGCCUGUGUUGUGUACUGUACCUGUGUGAGCAGCUGUCUCAGGGCCUGUGUUGUGUACUGUACCUGUGUGAGCAGCUGUCUCAGGGCCUGUGUUGUGUACUGUACCUGUGUGAGCAGCUGUCUCAGGGCCUGUGUUGUGUACUGUACCUGUGUGAGCAGCUGUCUCAGGGCCUGUGUUGUGUACUGUACCUGUGUGAGCAGCUGUCUCAGGGCCUGUGUUGUGUACUGUACCUGUGUGAGCAGCUGUCUCAGGGCCUGUGUUGUGUACUGUACCUGUGUGAGCAGCUGUCUCAGGGCCUGUGUUGUGUACUGUACCUGUGUGAGCAGCUGUCUCAGGGCCUGUGUUGUGUACUGUACCUGUGUGAGCAGCUGUCUCAGGGCCUGUGUUGUGUACUGUACCUGUGUGAGCAGCUGUCUCAGGGCCUGUGUUGUGUACUGUACCUGUGUGAGCAGCUGUCUCAGGGCCUGUGUUGUGUUUUCUCCCAGCUCGUUCAGGCCUCUCUUCUCCACCGCCUCCAACACCUGACACAGGUCUGGCUCCCACACCACCACCCUACUGCCAUACCGCAACAGCUGCAUGGGAGGGACAUGUGUUGGUAUUCAAGGCUUCAUCGGGGUGCUUACAAACAGAAGGCAAAGACACAUUUGAAUACACUUCAAAAUGGCCCUGCACUGCUUCAAAGACCAACAGUAGUAUGA